This 327-nucleotide ribosomal RNA is filed under the name Triticum aestivum (bread wheat). Its description in RNAcentral is "partial small subunit ribosomal RNA". Lineage: Eukaryota; Viridiplantae; Streptophyta; Magnoliopsida; Poales; Poaceae. The record is from RNAcentral.
AUGGCGCUUCGGCCACCGCCGCACGGCAAGGGAUCGCCGCCCCAGCCGCCGCCUUCGGAUCUCACGAGAAGGGCCGCCCCUGCCGCCUCAGAUGAGAUCUCGCCGCACCCACCCGCCCAGGUGCCUUCGGCGUCGGGCCCCGCCGCCACCGCGGCCCUCGCCGGCGGCAGCGGCGGCAGAGGGAGGCGCGAGAGGAGGCCUGCGGCGCUAGGGUUCGGUGGCCCCUGGCGUUGCCUAGGGGGAGGCGACGCGAGGGGGAGGGGGGGCAUCCAAGCAUACCAUUGGUUUAGCGAUGUUGGUUUUAAACACAUCCGCCAUAACUGCUAA